UGAAUACGAGACGCUAAGGCGUCGAAGUAGUGUAUGUCAUACUUCCAAGAAAAGCUUGCACUGUCAUAGAUAAAAAACGCCUGUACCAUAACCGACACAGGUGGGUAGGUAGAGUAUACUAAGGGGCGCGAGAUAACUCUCUCUAAGGAACUCGGCAAAAUAACUCCGUAACUUCGGGAGAAGGAGUGCCUUAUUCGUAAGGUUGCAAUAACAAGAUCAAGCAACUGUUUAUCAAAAACACAGGUCUCCGCUAAGUCGUAAGACGAUGUAUGGGGGCUGACGCUUGCCCAGUGCCAGAAGGUUAAAGAAGUUGGUUAGCAAUUGCGAAGCUGAUAACUGAAGCCCUGGUGAACGGCGGCCGUAACAAUAACGGUCCUAAGGUAGCGAAAUUCCUUGUCGGGUAAGUUCCGACCCGCACGAAAGGCGUAAUGAUUUGGAUACUGUCUCGGAGAGGGGCUCGGUGAAAUAGACUUGUCUGUGAAGAUGCGGACUACCUGCACCAGGACAGAAAGACCCUAUGAAGCUUUACUGUAACUUGAAAUUGAAAUUGGACUUUAUUCGCGCAGCAUAGGUGGGAGGCGUUGAUUAUAAUCUUGCGGGAUUAUUGGAGCCAUCAGUGAGAUACCACUCUUGUAAUGUUAGAUUUCUAACUUUGAAUCAUUAUCUGGUCAAAGAACAGUUUCAGGCGGGCAGUUUGACUGGGGCGGUCGCCUCCUAAACGGUAACGGAGGCGUACAAAGGUUUCCUCUGAACGGUUAGAAAUCGUAUCUAGAGUGUAAAGGCAUAAGGAAGCUUGACUGUGAGACCUACAAGUCGAGCAGGGACGAAAGUCGGUCUUAGUGAUCUGACGGUACUGAGUGGAAAGGCCGUCACUCAACGAAUAAAGGUUACUCUAGGAUAACAGGCUGAUCUCCCCCAAGAGUUCACAUCGACGGGGAGGUUUGGCACCUCGAUGUCGGCUCAUCGCAUCCUGGGGCGGUAGUACGUCCCAAGGGUUGGGCUGUUCGCCCAUGAAAGCGGUACGCGAGCUGGGUUCAGAACGUCGUGAGACAGUUCGGUCCAUAUCCGGUGUAGGCGUUAGAAUAUUGAGAGGAGCCUUCUUUAGUACGAGAGGACCGAGAAGGACAUACCUCUGGUGUACCAGUUAUCGUGCCAACGGUAAACGCUGGGUAGCUAUGUAUGGAGUGGAUAACCGCUGAAAGCAUCUAAGUGGGAAGCCCACCUCAAGAUAAG
RNAcentral lists this ribosomal RNA (1233 nucleotides) under metagenome. RNAcentral describes it as "bacterial LSU rRNA". It matches the Rfam family "Bacterial large subunit ribosomal RNA", at positions 1564 to 2808 of the family's 2925-position model. The record is from RNAcentral.